Molecule: ribosomal RNA, 209 nt
Filed under: uncultured Bacillus sp.
Lineage: Bacteria; Bacillati; Bacillota; Bacilli; Caryophanales; Bacillaceae
Description: partial 16S ribosomal RNA
Rfam family: Bacterial small subunit ribosomal RNA
Source: RNAcentral
UGGGGAUGACGUCAAAUCAUCAUGCCCCUUAUGUUCUGGGCUACACACGUGCUACAAUGGCCGGUACAGACGGACGCAAAGCCGCGAGGUGGAGCAAAUCCUAAAAAGCCGGUCUCAGUUCGGAUUGCAGGCUGCAAUUCGCCUGCAUGAAGUCGGAAUCGCUAGUAAUCGCAGGUCAGCAUACUGCGGUGAAUACGUUCCCGGGCCUU